GGCUAGGUAGCUCAGUUGGUUAGAGCAUGCGACUCAUAAUCGCAGGGUCGGGGGUUCGAGUCCCCCCCUCGCCA
Rhodobacter sp. is the source of this 74-nucleotide transfer RNA. It matches the Rfam family "tRNA". Rfam says of the family: Transfer RNA (tRNA) molecules are approximately 80 nucleotides in length. Their secondary structure includes four short double-helical elements and three loops (D, anti-codon, and T loops). Further hydrogen bonds mediate the characteristic L-shaped molecular structure. tRNAs have two regions of fundamental functional importance: the anti-codon, which is responsible for specific mRNA codon recognition, and the 3' end, to which the tRNAs corresponding amino acid is attached (by aminoacyl-tRNA synthetases). tRNAs cope with the degeneracy of the genetic code in two manners: having more than one tRNA (with a specific anti-codon) for a particular amino acid; and 'wobble' base-pairing, i.e. permitting non-standard base-pairing at the 3rd anti-codon position. The record is from Rfam. Lineage: Bacteria; Pseudomonadati; Pseudomonadota; Alphaproteobacteria; Rhodobacterales.